GGGCGGCUAGCUCAACUGGCAGAGCAACGGACUCUUAAUCCGUAGGCUGAAGGUUCGAGUCCUUCGCCGCCUACCA
RNAcentral lists this transfer RNA (76 nucleotides) under bacterium. RNAcentral describes it as "tRNA-Lys". It matches the Rfam family "tRNA". From Rfam's summary of the family: Transfer RNA (tRNA) molecules are approximately 80 nucleotides in length. Their secondary structure includes four short double-helical elements and three loops (D, anti-codon, and T loops). RNAcentral also lists the same sequence under 2 other names. The record is from RNAcentral.